Clostridium tetani E88 is the source of this 237-nucleotide regulatory RNA element. It matches the Rfam family "T-box leader". Rfam says of the family: Uncharged tRNA acts as the effector for transcription antitermination of genes in the T-box leader family. T-boxes are found upstream of many aminoacyl-tRNA synthetase genes and some amino acid biosynthetic genes usually in Gram-positive bacteria. The record is from Rfam. NCBI's taxonomy places the organism in Bacteria, Bacillati, Bacillota, Clostridia, Eubacteriales, Clostridiaceae.
UAUUAAGCUGUGAAGAAGAAGAGUAGUUAUUUUUGUGUUUUAUACAGAGAGCAUGGGGAAGGUGAGACUAUGUGUUGCAAAAAUUUACGAAUUAUGACUUUGGAGCAUUAAUGCUAAAACAUUAACGGUUGUCAUCCGAUAUAGUGACUUAGAGGCAUAUUAUUUUAGUGAAUAACUAACAACUAAUGAAAAUAUGCAAAGUAAGGUGGUAACACGAAAUAUAAACUCGUCCUUAUA